Molecule: ribosomal RNA, 1035 nt
Filed under: Enterococcus faecalis
Lineage: Bacteria; Bacillati; Bacillota; Bacilli; Lactobacillales; Enterococcaceae
Description: bacterial SSU rRNA
Rfam family: Bacterial small subunit ribosomal RNA
Source: RNAcentral
CAGUCGUACGCUUCUUUUUCACCGGAGCUUGCUCCACCGGAAAAAGAAGAGUGGCGAACGGGUGAGUAACACGUGGGUAACCUGCCCAUCAGAAGGGGAUAACACUUGGAAACAGGUGCUAAUACCGUAUAACAAUCGAAACCGCAUGGUUUUGAUUUGAAAGGCGCUUUCGGGUGUCGCUGAUGGAUGGACCCGCGGUGCAUUAGCUAGUUGGUGAGGUAACGGCUCACCAAGGCCACGAUGCAUAGCCGACCUGAGAGGGUGAUCGGCCACAUUGGGACUGAGACACGGCCCAAACUCCUACGGGAGGCAGCAGUAGGGAAUCUUCGGCAAUGGACGAAAGUCUGACCGAGCAACGCCGCGUGAGUGAAGAAGGUUUUCGGAUCGUAAAACUCUGUUGUUAGAGAAGAACAAGGAUGAGAGUAACUGUUCAUCCCUUGACGGUAUCUAACCAGAAAGCCACGGCUAACUACGUGCCAGCAGCCGCGGUAAUACGUAGGUGGCAAGCGUUGUCCGGAUUUAUUGGGCGUAAAGCGAGCGCAGGCGGUUUCUUAAGUCUGAUGUGAAAGCCCCCGGCUCAACCGGGGAGGGUCAUUGGAAACUGGGAGACUUGAGUGCAGAAGAGGAGAGUGGAAUUCCAUGUGUAGCGGUGAAAUGCGUAGAUAUAUGGAGGAACACCAGUGGCGAAGGCGGCUCUCUGGUCUGUAACUGACGCUGAGGCUCGAAAGCGUGGGGAGCAAACAGGAUUAGAUACCCUGGUAGUCCACGCCGUAAACGAUGAGUGCUAAGUGUUGGAGGGUUUCCGCCCUUCAGUGCUGCAGCUAACGCAUUAAGCACUCCGCCUGGGGAGUACGACCGCAAGGUUGAAACUCAAAGGAAUUGACGGGGGCCCGCACAAGCGGUGGAGCAUGUGGUUUAAUUCGAAGCAACGCGAAGAACCUUACCAGGUCUUGACAUCCUUUGACCACUCUAGAGAUAGAGCUUCCCCUUCGGGGGCAAAGUGACAGGUGGUGCAUGGUUGUCGUCAGCUCGUGU